Molecule: ribosomal RNA, 479 nt
Filed under: uncultured bacterium
Lineage: Bacteria
Description: bacterial SSU rRNA
Rfam family: Bacterial small subunit ribosomal RNA
Source: RNAcentral
AGAGUUUGAUCCUGGCUCAGAUUGAACGCUGGCGGCAUGCCUUACACAUGCAAGUCGAACGGCAGCACGGGGGCAACCCUGGUGGCGAGUGGCGAACGGGUGAGUAACACAUCGGAACGUGUCCUAUUGUGGGGGAUAACUAGUCGAAAGAUUAGCUAAUACCGCAUAAGCUCGGAAGAGGAAAGCAGGGGACUCGCAAGGGCCUUGCGCGAUUGGAGCGGCCGAUGUCCGAUUAGCUAGUUGGUGGGGUAAAGGCCUACCAAGGCGACGAUCGGUAGCCGGCCUGAGAGGGCGGACGGCCACACUGGGACUGAGACACGGCCCAGACUCCUACGGGAGGCAGCAGUGGGGAAUUGUUCGCAAUGGGCGCAAGCCUGACGACGCAACGCCGCGUGGAGGAUGAAGAUCUUCGGGUCGUAAACUCCUUUCGAUCGAGACGAACGGCUUCCGGGCUAAUCACCGGGAGAGUGACGGUACCG